Molecule: non-coding RNA, 30 nt
Filed under: Homo sapiens (human)
Lineage: Eukaryota; Metazoa; Chordata; Mammalia; Primates; Hominidae
Source: RNAcentral
UGUCAGGUUUGUGGCUUCCUGAUGGUUUGA